AACGAACGCUGGCGGCAGGCCUAACACAUGCAAGUCGAGCGCCCCGCAGGGGGGGCGGCGGCCGGGUGGGUAACGGGUGGGAAUAGACCCUUUGCUACGGAAUAGUCCCGGGAAACUGGGGGUAAUACCGUAUACGCCCUCUGGGGGAAAGAUUUAUCGUCGAAGGAUUGGCCCGCGUGGGAUUAGGGAGUUGGUGGGGUAAUGGCCUCCCAAGCCGACGAUGCUUAGCUGGUUUGAGAGAAUGAUCAGCCACACUGGGACUGAGACACGGCCCAGACUCCUACGGGAGGCAGCAGUGGGGAACCUUAGACAAUGGGGGCAACCCUGAUCGAGCCAUGACGCGUGAGUGAUGAAGGCCUUAGGGUUGUAAAGCUCAUGCAGCUGUGAAGAUAAUGACGGUACCAGCAGAAGAAGCCCCGGCUAACUCCGUG
This 431-nucleotide ribosomal RNA is filed under the name uncultured bacterium. Its description in RNAcentral is "partial 16S ribosomal RNA". It matches the Rfam family "Bacterial small subunit ribosomal RNA", at positions 29 to 507 of the family's 1533-position model. The record is from RNAcentral.